Molecule: ribosomal RNA, 473 nt
Filed under: uncultured Pseudomonadota bacterium
Lineage: Bacteria; Pseudomonadati; Pseudomonadota
Description: bacterial SSU rRNA
Rfam family: Bacterial small subunit ribosomal RNA
Source: RNAcentral
UUGAACGCUGGCGGCAGCUUUAAUACAUGCAAGUCGAGCGAGAAAGUUUCUUCGGAAACGAGUAAAGCGGCGAACGGGUGAGUAACGCGUAGGAAUCUACCAUUCAGCGGGGGAUAGCUCGGGGAAACUCGAAUUAAUACCGCAUACACCCUACGGGGGAAAGAAGGCCUAUCCUUGGAAGCUUUCACUGUUUGAUGAGCCUGCGUGAGAUUAGUUUGUUGGUGAGGUAAUGGCUCACCAAGACUACGAUCUCUAGCUGGUCUGAGAGGACGAUCAGCCACACUGGGACUGAGACACGGCCCAGACUCCUACGGGAGGCAGCAGUAGAGAAUAUUGGACAAUGGGGGCAACCCUGAUCCAGGCAUGCCGCGUGUGUGAAGAAGGCCUUAGGGUUGUAAAGCACUUUAGGUAAGGAAGAAAAGUUAAUAGUUAAUACCUAUUAGCCGUGACAUUACUUACAGAAUAAGGACCGG